Molecule: unclassified non-coding RNA, 353 nt
Filed under: Hevea brasiliensis (rubber tree)
Lineage: Eukaryota; Viridiplantae; Streptophyta; Magnoliopsida; Malpighiales; Euphorbiaceae
Source: RNAcentral
GAACUGCCUGCUCAAACUCGUGGUAAGUUCCUUUUCAAUUGAUGAUUCUUUUGCAGUCCAUCUUUCGUGUUAUUGCUUAGCUUAUGGUUGCCUUAUUCAUGCCAUUAACAAUUUGUGUUGAAAAAAAUUGUUAUUCUUGGACACACACAAUGUGUUGCUCCAUUUCCUUGACAUUAGAGCUCUUGAACUAGGAAGUAGACAAAUUUUCAAACACUUGCUUCAUAACUCUCGAAACACAUCUCAUUUCUCUUUUGGUUUCCAUUUUUAAUAGGUAGUACUAAUAAUGAGUUUUUACUUUUUUGUUUAAUUAUUUUUUAGUUCUUUAGAAAAAGAUUUAUAUAUUUAUUUAUUUU